AUAAAUACCAAUUUGGUGACAGGGAGCGAGUGUAGCGGUAGCCCCCCAAAAAAAUAUGCGCAGGAGAUGAUCGGACCGGGCUUCAAGCCAAGUAGGACUCUUUACGUUGUUACGGCCCAGCCGUUAACCACAAUAUCCUCGUCACAGUCUCUCCUGCAUCGCCGCGUACGAAGCGACCAAGAUCAGCGCGAGAGAGAGAGAGAGAGAUGGGAGGAGAAGAAACCCUAGGACAUCGAGGCUCGCUUGCAGCUCCUCUGAUCUUCGUGAUUGUUAUCGGCUUCCAGUUCCUCUCCAGAUGGCUUGAGCACUUUAAAAAAAAUAGAGGAUCCAAGAGUGCUGUCUCAAUCCAGUUGCGUGGAGAGAUAAAGCAAAUCUUGAAAGAGGCGAGCUCCUUGUCACAGCCAUCCACAUUUGCACAAGCUGCAAAACUAAGGAGGUUAGCAGCUGCCAAGGAGAAGGAACUUGCAAAUUAUCAAGAAUCAAUGAGCAAGGAAAUGAAAGUGUCUUAUGAUUUGUAUCUGAAAGUUCUAUUUCUUUCUAAGGUUUUUACCUAUUUUGUGCUCGUUUGUUGGUUUUGGAGGGUUCCUGUUGCAACCAUUUCUGAGCAACUUGUGCAACCCUUCGGGAGGGUGUUAUCUUGGAGGGCUGGAGGUACCUUAAACAACAAUGUUAUGGUUGGGAUAAUACCUUGGUUAAUACUGUCUACCAGGGUUAGCAAAUUUGUUUGUCGACUCUUCAAGUAGAAAAAGUUUAGUGGUGAUUAGUAUCUUGUCAUCAGAAUUAGUGCGUUUUUUUCUCGAAUUUCAAGGAAGAAAACGCCUGCACUGCCAUUGCUAGUAACGAGGAAGGAAGAGCUAGAGCUAGAGCUAGUGCGAAGCAGCAACAAGAAGCUGUGUUGCUUGCAGCUUCUUUUUCCCCUAUGCUUAGAUGGGGGGAUCGUGAAACGAUACGAUACGAGGGCGGAUCUUGUAACACAGCAGCCUCAUUUUAUGAACUUGUAACAUUUUUUUCAAGUCUAAACCUAUGAACUUAUAAUUUGAACAAUGCAACUUAUGAACUAUA
Molecule: RNA transcript, 1062 nt
Organism: Juglans microcarpa x Juglans regia
Lineage: Eukaryota; Viridiplantae; Streptophyta; Magnoliopsida; Fagales; Juglandaceae
Gene name: protein GET1
Exons: 8
Source: RefSeq, a predicted model, not a curated record